This 878-nucleotide ribosomal RNA is filed under the name uncultured Methanosarcinales archaeon. Its description in RNAcentral is "bacterial SSU rRNA". It matches the Rfam family "Archaeal small subunit ribosomal RNA", at positions 20 to 903 of the family's 1478-position model. The record is from RNAcentral. Lineage: Archaea; Methanobacteriati; Methanobacteriota; Methanomicrobia; Methanosarcinales.
GAGGUUACUGCUAUCGAGGUUCGACUAAGCCAUGCGAGUCGAAUGUAGCAAUACAUGGCGAACUGCUCAGUAACACGUGGACAACCUGCCCUUAGGACGGGGAUAAACCCGGGAAACUGGGUAUAAUACCCGAUAGGUCUCGAUUGCUGGAAUGCAUCGAGAUUUAAAGCUCCAGCGCCUAAGGAUGGGUCUGCGGCCUAUCAGGUAGUAGUGGGUGUAGCGUACCUACUAGCCUACGACGGGUACGGGUUGUGAGAGCAAGAGCCCGGAGAUGGAUUCUGAGACACGAAUCCAGGCCCUACGGGGUGCAGCAGGCGCGAAAACUUUACAAUGCUGGCAACAGCGAUAAGGGAACCUCGAGUGCCAGGUUACAAAUCUGGCUGUCGAGAUGCCUAAAAAGCAUUUCAUAGCAAGGGCCGGGCAAGACCGGUGCCAGCCGCCGCGGUAACACCGGCGGCUCGAGUGGUAACCGUUAUUAUUGGGUCUAAAGGGUCUGUAGCCGGCCGGAUAAGUCUCUUGAGAAAUCUGGCAGCUUAACUGUCAGGCUUUCAGGAGAUACUGUCUGGCUCGAGGCCGGGAGAGGUGAGAGGUACUUCAGGGGUAGGGGUGAAAUCUUGUAAUCCUUGAAGGACCACCAGUGGCGAAGGCGUCUCACCAGAACGGACCUGACGGCAAGGGACGAAAGCUAGGGGCACGAACCGGAUUAGAUACCCGGGUAGUCCUAGCCGUAAACGAUACUCGCUAGGUGUCGGCCACGGUGCGACCGUUGUCGGUGCCGUAGGGAAGCCGUGAAGCGAGCCACCUGGGAAGUACGGCCGCAAGCCUGAAACUUAAAGGAAUUGGCGGGGGAGCACCACAACGGGUGGAGCUUGCGGUUU